UAGCGAGAGGCAUGCGAGAAACAUGCCCGUCGAAAGCCCAAGGUUUCCUGGGGAAGGUUCAUCCGCCCAGGGUAAGUCGGGGCCUAAGCCGAGGACGGAAGUCGUAGGCGAUGGACAGCAGGUGUAGAUUCCUGCACUACCGAUGGAAUGAAACAGUGACACAGAAGGAUAACUCGAGCAGGGUGAUGGUCAACCCUGUGCAAGCAUUGAGGUUGGGUUGUAGUGAAGUACGCAAUCCUAUAAGCUGAGAUGUGAUGCGGACCGAAAUUUCAGUAGGGAAGCGAGUGAGUUCACGCUGGCGAGAAAAGCUGCUAGUACAUCCAAAGGUACCCGUACCGGAAACCGACGCAGGUGGGCGAGGAGAGAAUCCUGAGACGAACGGGAGAACCCUUGUUAAGGAACUCGGCAAAAUGACCCCGUAACUUCGGGAUAAGGGGUGCCUGCGAGAGCAGGCCGCAGAGAAUAGUCACAAGCGACUGUUUAGCAAAAACACAGGUAUCUGCGAAAGCGAGAGCUGACGUAUAGGUGCUGACACCUGCCCGGUGCUGGAAGGUUAAGGGAACAUGUUAGAGCAAUCGAAGCAUCGAACCGAAGCCCCAGUAAACGGCGGCCGUAACAAUAACGGUCCUAAGGUAGCGAAAUUCCUUGUCGGGUAAGUUCCGACCCGCACGAAUGGUGUAACGACUUGUGAGCUGUCUCAACAGGGGGCCCGGUGAAAUUGAAGUAUGGGUGAAGAUGCCCAUUACCCGCGACUGGACGGAAAGACCCCGUAGAGCUUUACUGCAGCCUGAUAUUGAGUUUCGGUAACUGAUGCACAGGAUAGGUGGGAGUCUGAGAGACAUGGGUUUCGGCUCAUGUGGAGAUGAUGUUGGGAUACCACUCUUCGGUUACUGAAAUUCUAACAUAGCUCUGUGAAACCAGAGGAUGGACAGUGUCAGGUGGACAGUUUGACUGGGGCGGUCGCCUCCGAAAGAGUAACGGAGGCGCCCAAAGGUACCCUCAGAAUGGAUGGAAACCAUUCGAAGAGCGCAAAGGCAGAAGGGUGCCUGACUGCGAGAUUGACAAAUCGAGCAGAGACGAAAGUCGGGCUUAGUGAUCCGGCGGUAUUGAGUGGAAAAGCCGUCGCUUAACGGAUAAAAGCUACCUCGGGGAUAACAGGCUGAUCUCCCCCAAGAGUCCACAUCGACGGGGAGGUUUGGCACCUCGAUGUCGGCUCGUCGCAUCCUGGGGCUGAAGCAGGUCCCAAGGGUUUGGCUGUUCGCCAAUUAAAGCGGCACGCGAGCUGGGUUCAGAACGUCGUGAGACAGUUCGGUCCCUAUCCAUCGUGGGCGUAGGAGUCAUGAGAGGAGCUGUUCCUAGUACGAGAGGACCGGAAUGGACGCACCACUGGUGCAACUGUUGUCGUGCCAACGGCAUAGCAGGGAAGCGAAGUGCGGAUGGGAUAAACGCUGAAGGCAUCUAAGCGUGAAGCCCACCUCAAGAAUAAGACUCCACAAUAGACCCCUGGAGGACUACCAGGUAGAUAGGUCAUCGGUGGAAGCGCUGUAAGGCGUGUAGCUUGAUGAUACUAAUCGGUCGAAAGCUUCAU
RNAcentral lists this ribosomal RNA (1588 nucleotides) under metagenome. Its description in RNAcentral is "bacterial LSU rRNA". It matches the Rfam family "Bacterial large subunit ribosomal RNA", at positions 1307 to 2925 of the family's 2925-position model. The record is from RNAcentral.